CAGCGCGGCUGGAACCCGGCCGACAGAAGAUGGCGGAUGAGCAGCGUGCAGGGUUUUCUCCCUGUGGCUCACUCUCUCUUACUGUGCUGGGCGGUUGCUUCCUCUCCUGCUGCCCUUGGGAGUCAGACUCCAGGUUCUUCAGCCUGUGGCCCCUGGGGCUCUCGGGCCUUGGAGGACUGACUAGGAGCACACGGUGGGCCUCUCUGGUUUGGGGGCCUGGGACGUGGCGGAGCCCUGCAGCUUCUGUGCGGCCUGUUCUGGGCGUCGCGUUGAAACGCCAGCCAGUUCCCCAAAAAGAGCAUACGGGAGAGAUGAAGCAGUCCACUCCAAGAACAUUCUCAUCCUACGGAUUACGAGUCCCCCUGGGAUUACAGGAGUGUUGAAGAAAUGUUGUGACACAUCAGAACACCGCGAAAUACAUGGACACUUUCAAAUCAUGGAAGACUCAAGCCCACCAGGUAUUUUUGAAAAAAGUACUCUGUGAAAAACAGAAACUGCAAGCAAGACAGAUACCAGGAUUAGGGAUCACGGUGACUUCUACCAUCGCUGGAUACUCCCAAAAGGGUUCUCGAGACAGCAGCUGUGUCUGCCCUGCUUUGGCAUUCUUUCCCAGGCAUGGCGACCGAUUUGAAAAAAGAGUGAUGGCUGUGUCCAGUGGCUCAUGCCUAGAAUCCCAGCACUAUGGGAGGCCGAGACAGGCAGAUCACUUGAGCCCAGGAGUUUUAGACCAGCCUGUGCAACAGGGUGAAACCUCGUUUCUACCAAAAAUACAAAAAUGCAUGGGCGUGGUGGCACAUGCAAAUAGUUCCAGCUAAUCAGGAUGCUGAGGUGGGAGGAUCACUUGAGCUCUGGCAAGUGGAGCCUGCAGUGAGCUGAGAUCACCACCACACUCCAGUCUGGGCAACAGAAUGAGAUCCUGUCUCAAUAAAAAGAAAAAAGCGUUGAUGUGGUUUGGCUCUGUGUCCCCACCCAAAUCUCACCUUGUAGCUCUCUUAAUUCCCACAUGUUGUGAGAGGGACCCAGUGGGAGAUGAUUGAAUUACGGGAGCCAGUCUUUCCCAUACCGUUGUCAUGGUAGUGAAUAAGCCUCGAGAUCUGAUGGUUUGAUAAGGAGAAACUUGUUUCGCUUGGCAUUUAUUCUCUCUUUGCCUGCUGCCAUGCAUGUAAGAUGUGAAUUUUGCUCCACCUUGACUUCUGCCAUGAUUGUGAGGCUUCCCCAGCCAUGUGGAACUGUAAUUAAACCUCUUUCUUUUGUAAA
Homo sapiens (human) is the source of this 1257-nucleotide long non-coding RNA. Ensembl annotates it as long intergenic non-protein coding RNA 1446. Lineage: Eukaryota; Metazoa; Chordata; Mammalia; Primates; Hominidae. The record is from Ensembl.